UGAGGAAUAUUGGGCAAUGCCCGCAAGGGUGACCCGGCAACGCCGCGUGGAGGAUGAAUGUCGUAAGAUUGUAAACUCCUGUUAGAGGGGAAGAAUAGUACCGGUUGGACCGGUAUAUGACUGUACCCUCAGAGAAAGCCCCGGCUAACUACGUGCCAGCAGCCGCGGUAAUACGUGGGGGGCAAGCGUUGUCCGGAUUUACUGGGUGUAAAGGGCGCGCAGGCGGGAUAAAAAGUCAGUGGUGAAAUCCUACAGCUUAACUGUAGAACUGCCUUUGAUACUUUUAUUCUUGAGUUCGGGAGAGAGAGACGGAAUUCCAGGUGUAGUGGUGAAAUACGUAGAUAUCUGGAAGAACACCAGUUGCGAAGGCGGUCUCUUGGUCCGACACUGACGCUGAGGCGCGAAAGCGUGGGGAGCAAACA
RNAcentral lists this ribosomal RNA (422 nucleotides) under uncultured bacterium. Its description in RNAcentral is "bacterial SSU rRNA". It matches the Rfam family "Bacterial small subunit ribosomal RNA", at positions 355 to 774 of the family's 1533-position model. The record is from RNAcentral.